AUCUAUCGCUGCCAAUCUAUUGCUGCUAAUCUAUCGCUGCUAAUCUAUCGCUGCUGCCAAUCUAUCUAUCGCUGCUAAUCUAUCGCCGCUGCCAAUCUAUCCCUCACUGCUAAGCUAUCCCUCGCUGCUAAGCUAUCCCUCACUGCUAAGCUAUCCCUCGCUGCUAAGCUAUCCCUCGCUGCUAAGCUAUCCCUCACUGCUAAGCUAUCCCUCGCUGCUAAGCUAUCCCUCACUACUAAGCUAUCUAUCACUGCUAAUCUAUCGCUGCCAACCUAUCUAUCACUGCCAAUCUAUCUAUCGCUGCUAAUCUAUCGCUGCUAAUCUAUCGCUGCCAACCUAUCUAUCGCUGCCAAUUUAUCUACCACUGCCAAUCUAUCUAUCGCUGCCAAUUUAUCUACCACUGCCAAUCUAUCUAUCGCUGCUAAUCUAUCGCUGCUAAUCUAUCACUGCCAACCUAUCCAUCGCUGCCAAUUUAUCUACCACUGCCAAUCUAUCUAUCACUGCUAAUCUAUCGCUGCUAAUCUAUUGCUGCUAAUCUAUUGCUGCUGCCAAUCUAUCUAUCACUGCUAAUCUAUUGCUGCUAAUCUAUCACUGCUAAUCUAUCGCUGCUAAUCUAUCGCUGCUAAUCUAUCGCUGCUAAUCUAUUGCUGCUAAUCUAUCGCUGCCAACCUAUCUACCGCGGCGAAUCUAUCUAUUGCUGCCAAUCAACCUACCACUGCCAACC
RNAcentral lists this small RNA (724 nucleotides) under Histoplasma ohiense. RNAcentral describes it as "hypothetical lncRNA". Lineage: Eukaryota; Fungi; Ascomycota; Eurotiomycetes; Onygenales; Ajellomycetaceae. The record is from RNAcentral.